GGGUGAAACUGUGGUACUAGAAAGAAAUAGAGGGAAGCGGAAUUCCGGGUGUAGUGGUGAAAUGCGUAGAUAUCCGGAGGAAUACCGGUGGCGAAGGCGGCUUCCUGGAUUUCAACUGACGCUGAGGCGCGAAAGCGUGGGUAGCGAACGGGAUUAGAAACCCCGGUAGUCCACGCCGUAAACGAUGCACAUUCGAUGUUCGGUCAUGUUAAGUGAUUGAGUGUUCCAGCAAACGCGAUAAAUGUGCCGCCUGGGGAGUACGGUCGCAAGGCUAAAACUCAAAGGAAUUGACGGGGGCCCGCACAAGCAGCGGAGCGUGUGGUUUAAUUCGAGGCUACGCGAAGAACCUUACCUGGGUUUGACAUGAUGGUAGUACGGAAGCGAAAGCGGAAGGACCUUCGGGAGCCAUCACAGGUGCUGCAUGGUUGUCGUCAGCUCGUGCCGUGAGGUGUUCGGUUAAGUCCGCAAACGAGCGCAACCCUCGAUGCUAGUUACAAGUGUCUAGCAUGACUGCCCAUGACAAAUGGGAGGAAGGUGGGGAUGAUGUCAAAUCAGCAUGGCCUUUAUAUCCAGGGCGACACACACGCUACAAUGGUCGGUACAAUGGGUAGCGAAGCCGCGAGGUGGAGCGAAUCCUGCAAAGUCGGUCUCAGUUCGGAUUGCAGGCUGCAACUCGCCUGCAUGAAGUCGGAGUUGCUAGUAACCGCAAAUCAGCACGUUGCGGUGAAUACGUUCCCGGGCCUUGUACACACCGCCC
Molecule: ribosomal RNA, 757 nt
Filed under: uncultured bacterium
Lineage: Bacteria
Description: bacterial SSU rRNA
Rfam family: Bacterial small subunit ribosomal RNA
Source: RNAcentral